RNAcentral lists this ribosomal RNA (456 nucleotides) under uncultured bacterium. Its description in RNAcentral is "bacterial SSU rRNA". It matches the Rfam family "Bacterial small subunit ribosomal RNA", at positions 340 to 786 of the family's 1533-position model. The record is from RNAcentral.
UACGGAAGGCAGCAGUGGGGAAUAUUGCACAAUGGGCGAAAGCCUGAUGCAGCUAUGCCGCGUGUAUGAAGAAGGCCUUAGGGUUGUAAAGUACUUUCAUCGGGGAGGAAAAAACAAACUAAUAAUUUUAUUUCUUGACGUUACCCGAAAAAGAAGCACCGGCUAACUCCGUGCCAGCAGCCGCGGUAAUACGGAGGGUGCUAGCGUUAAUCAGAAUUACUGGGCGUAAAGAGCACGUAGGUGGUUUUUUUAAGUCAGAUGUGAAAUCCCUGGGCUUAACCUAGGAACUGCAUUUUGAAACUGAAAUACUAGAGUAUCGUAGAGGGAGGUAGAAUUCUAGGUGUAGCGGUGAAAUGCGUAGAUAUCUGGAGGAAUACCUGUGGCGAAAGCGGCCUCCUAAACGAAUACUGACACUGAGGGUGCGAAAGCGUGGGGAGCAAACAGGGAUUAGAUACC